AGAAAAAGUAAGUUAACUUUAACAUAGUUUUCAAAUACUUUCAAUAGUAUAGUUCAAAUUUAACGGAACCAAUCGUCGAUUUGAAAACUAUAUCAUUUAAAACAACUUGGUAGUACAAAGACAUCCGUACUACCAAUAGUAUAUCAGCUUAACUAUAUAUAUAUAUAUAUAUAUAUAGAGAGAGAGAGAGAGAGAGAGAGAGAGAGAGAGAGAGAGAGAGAGAGAGCAGGACUGCUGUGCUUUCAAGAGCACGGAGGCCUCUGUGCUUCUGAGCCAUUUUCGAUGAUGAAAUUUCCGAAUCGACGAUCAGCUCCGUUAGACUUGAUCUAGCGUCUUUGAAGUUUCUAGAAAAUAAUUUUUGUGAUUUUUUUAUAUCAUUUACCUAGCAAUCGAAAGGAAUCAAAAUCAAUAUUUUUUAACGACUGAAAAUAAAAAUCAUAUAAAAGGUGGUGAUAUAGUACUAAAAUUUUCGAUCAGAAAUAUUGAUCUUGUUGUAGAUAGUAUAAAGAAUUUUGUAUCAAAAUUUUAUCUGAUUUGAAUAUUUCUAUACCGUUAAACUUGAAAACGAUAGAUAUCAACCAUUAAAAAUUAUUAAUUUUGAAUACUUUCGAUCACUAGGUAAAUGAUAUCAAAAAAUCGUAAAAAUUAUUUUCUAAAAACUUCAAAUACCCUAGAUCAAGUCUAACGAAGCCGAUCGUCGAUUCGAAAAUUUCAUCAUCGAAAACAGUUUAGGAGUAUGGAAGCCUCUAUGCUCUUGAGAGCAUAGCAGCCCUGCUAUAUAUAUAUAUAUAUAUAU
This 796-nucleotide long non-coding RNA is filed under the name Ananas comosus (pineapple). RNAcentral describes it as "long non-coding RNA (ACOM_LNC017065)". Lineage: Eukaryota; Viridiplantae; Streptophyta; Magnoliopsida; Poales; Bromeliaceae. The record is from RNAcentral.